This 436-nucleotide ribosomal RNA is filed under the name uncultured prokaryote. Its description in RNAcentral is "partial 16S ribosomal RNA". The record is from RNAcentral.
CCCUACGGGGUGCAGCAGGCGGUCUAUCUGGAAAACGUUCAACAGAAGGCAGACCUAAAGGGCACCUGGAGUAUUACCGGGAUUAUUACGUUUUCCGAAGGAAGCGUUAAGGACGUUCCGAAUGAUAAGCUGUUGGAACUGGGGAAAAAAGCAGUGCGGAAAAUAUCGGCGGAAUUAGGCGUGAAGCCACUUUAUAUUAGCCUGCAUCUUGACGAAAAAACGGCGCCCCUGCACUAUCAGCUGGAGAACUUAAACCGGGAGACCGGAAGGACUGUCGCGAGAACUAUAAAGAAGGGGACGCUGACAAAACUUCAGGAUAUCGCAGGCGAGAUAUUCGGAGAGGUCGGCUUAAGCCGCGGUUUAAGCAGGGAGACUACAGGAAAAAGAUAUAAAACAGGAGCCGAAGGACACCGAGAAGAACUGAAGGCGGGGGAGC